UAAGCGGAGGAAAAGAAACCAACAGGGAUUGCCUCAGUAGCGGCGAGUGAAGCGGCAAGAGCUCAGAUUUGAAAUCGUGCUUUGCGGCACGAGUUGUAGAUUGCAGGUUGGAGUCUGUGUGGAAGGCGGUGUCCAAGUCCCUUGGAACAGGGCGCCCAGGAGGGUGAGAGCCCCGUGGGAUGCCGGCGGAAGCAGUGAGGCCCUUCUGACGAGUCGAGUUGUUUGGGAAUGCAGCUCCAAGCGGGUGGUAAAUUCCAUCUAAGGCUAAAUACUGGCGAGAGACCGAUAGCGAACAAGUACUGUGAAGGAAAGAUGAAAAGCACUUUGAAAAGAGAGUGAAACAGCACGUGAAAUUGUUGAAAGGGAAGGGUAUUGCGCCCGACAUGGGGAUUGCGCACCGCUGCCUCUCGUGGGCGGCGCUCUGGGCUUUCCCUGGGCCAGCAUCGGUUCUUGCUGCAGGAGAAGGGGUUCUGGAACGUGGCUCUUCGGAGUGUUAUAGCCAGGGCCAGAUGCUGCGUGCGGGGACCGAGGACUGCGGCC
RNAcentral lists this ribosomal RNA (540 nucleotides) under Pichia kudriavzevii. Its description in RNAcentral is "eukaryotic LSU rRNA". It matches the Rfam family "Eukaryotic large subunit ribosomal RNA", at positions 47 to 600 of the family's 3401-position model. The record is from RNAcentral. Lineage: Eukaryota; Fungi; Ascomycota; Pichiomycetes; Pichiales; Pichiaceae.